Molecule: ribosomal RNA, 122 nt
Filed under: Neogale vison (American mink)
Lineage: Eukaryota; Metazoa; Chordata; Mammalia; Carnivora; Mustelidae
Source: RNAcentral
GUCUACAGCCAGACCAACCUGAACACACCCCAUCUCUCCUAAUCUUGGAAGCUAAGAAGAGUUGGGCCUGGUUAGUACUUGGAUGGGACAAGACAGAGACAGAAAGAAGGUGGUUACUGCCC